GGGGGGGGGCAUGGGGACCUCGCCCCUCUUCUCCCCUCACAGGAGCCGGGGUUGGCCUGGUUUGUCCCCUGGGGGGCUGGGGUGUCCCCCCGUCACCUUGCAGCCCCGGUGCUGACAGGACCAUGGUGAUGGGGGCGAGGCCUGGGGGGGGCCUGGAGGCACCGGGAAGGGGAGGGGGGCCCGCAGGGUGCUCCCCCAAUGCCUGGGCAUCCACCGAGGUCCUGCUUCCCUCCUGCUUCCCCCGGCCCCCCCCCAGCCUGGCUUCCUGGCCUGGCUCGCCCUUUCCUGUCCCCCCCCCCUUGGCAGCGGAGCGAAGGGAAAUCGCUGCUCAGUGACCCCGCCGGAGCCGCGCAGGAGGCAGCGAGACAAAGGGGGGCCACGGAGCCCUGCGCCGUGCCUCGGGGUGGGGGCUCGGAGCCCCCAGCGCGGCGCUGAGCCCGGGGACGGCCGUCGGUGGGACAGAGCUGCUGGGAGACUCGCCAUGUUCCCGGAGGAGCGCAAGGAGGGCAGCCCCCGCUUCGGGAAGCUCCACUUCCCCGUCGGCCUCUGGAUCAACUCCCCCAAAAAACACUUGGCCAAAAUGAGCCGCCGCUGGCCCAGCGCCGGCUCCGUCAGGUGAGCCCCCGACCCCGCCACCCCCCCCAAAAAAAGAAAAACCCACCCCAAACCGUCUCUCCCCCCGCCCAGAUCGACCUCGUCGGACAACGCCAGCCGCGGCAGCGAGACGGUGGAGCUGCGGCCCCCCGGCAAGAGCAAGCCGGCGCGGCACAAGCGCCUCUCCAACCUCUUCCACCGCAGCGGCGGCGCCGGUGCCGCGCCGCCGGGCGCCGGCGGGCGUUGGGCCAGCGAGAAGAAGCUGGCGGAGCUGGCGGACCCCCUCCCCGAGGAGCUGGCGGAGCUGGGCGGCCGGCCCCAGCUCCCCGGCAUCCUGAAGAUUUUCGGGGGGGCCAUCUCGCGGGGGGCCAACUACAAGAGCGUCUUGGCCACGCCGCGUUCCACCGCCCGGCAGCUGGUGCGGGAGGCGUUGGAGCGCUACGGCCUGAGCCCGGAGGAAGGCGACUUCGUGCUGUGCGACGUGGUGGGGCGGGCGGCGGGGCCCGACGGCUCGUGGCAGGCCGAGCACCUGCGGCCCGUGGGCGACGCCGAGCGGCCCCUGGUGCUGCAGGACGUCUGGAAGCCCAAGGCCGGCUGCUCGCGGCGCUUCGAGAUCCGCCGCCGCCGCGACGUGGAGCGCGCCUGC
RNAcentral lists this long non-coding RNA (1240 nucleotides) under Anser brachyrhynchus (Pink-footed goose). Its description in RNAcentral is "lncRNA (ENSABRG00000016440.1)". The record is from RNAcentral. Lineage: Eukaryota; Metazoa; Chordata; Aves; Anseriformes; Anatidae.